This 67-nucleotide transfer RNA is filed under the name Marmota monax (woodchuck). RNAcentral describes it as "tRNA.Ala". The record is from RNAcentral. Lineage: Eukaryota; Metazoa; Chordata; Mammalia; Rodentia; Sciuridae.
GGUACUGGCUCAGUGGUAGAGACCUCGCCUAGCAUGUGUGAGGCCCUGGGUUCAACCCUCAGCACCA